GGAGAAAUGGCUGAGUGGUUUAAAGCAACGAUUUGCUAAAUCGUUAUAUAAUUAAUAUUUAUAUCAUGGGUUCGAAUCCCAUUUUUUCCA
RNAcentral lists this transfer RNA (90 nucleotides) under Rhodogorgon sp. RNAcentral describes it as "tRNA-Ser". It matches the Rfam family "tRNA". Rfam says of the family: Transfer RNA (tRNA) molecules are approximately 80 nucleotides in length. Their secondary structure includes four short double-helical elements and three loops (D, anti-codon, and T loops). Lineage: Eukaryota; Rhodophyta; Florideophyceae; Rhodogorgonales; Rhodogorgonaceae. The record is from RNAcentral.